AGAGUUUGAUCAUGGCUCAGGAUGAACGCUGGCGGCGUGCCUAAUACAUGCAAGUCGAGCGGUAAGGCCUCUUCGGAGGUACACGAGCGGCGGACGGCUGAGUAACACGUAGGAACGUACCCCAAACUGAGGGAUAACUGCUCGAAAGAGUAGCUAAUACCGCAUGUGCUCUAAGGAGUAAAGCUUCGGCGGUUUGGGAACGGCCUGCGCAUGAUUAGCUUGUUGGUGAGAUAAAAGCUCACCAAGGCGACGAUCAUUAGCUGGUCUGAGAGGAUGAUCAGCCAGACUGGGACUGAGACACGGCCCAGACUCCUACGGGAGGCAGCAGUAGGGAAUUUUCCACAAUGGGCGAAAGCCUGAUGGAGCAACGCCGCGUGCAGGAUGAAUGCCUUCGGGUUGUAAACUGCUUUUAUAUGUGACGAUUAUGACGGUAGCAUAUGAAUAAGGAUCGGCUAACUCCGUGCCAGCAGCCGCGGUAAUUC
Molecule: ribosomal RNA, 482 nt
Filed under: uncultured bacterium
Lineage: Bacteria
Description: bacterial SSU rRNA
Rfam family: Bacterial small subunit ribosomal RNA
Source: RNAcentral